RNAcentral lists this long non-coding RNA (383 nucleotides) under Carica papaya (papaya). Its description in RNAcentral is "long non-coding RNA (CPAP_LNC015159)". The record is from RNAcentral. Lineage: Eukaryota; Viridiplantae; Streptophyta; Magnoliopsida; Brassicales; Caricaceae.
CACACCUAGUCCAAGGAGAUUUGUCAGUAUCAUAAUAUACUCAGAAAUUCUUGAAGUUAGGCUAGUACUCCCCUGAGAACAUGAUAGAUGAGGGCAGGAAGGUAACAAAGUUUGAAUAGGGUCAUCGUCUUGAGAUCAUACAACAGUUAUAUAUCUUCGAGCCUGGCACUUUUGAGCGGUCUUGGCCAAGGCACAAUUAAUAAAGAGGAACCUCUUCAUUUUUUCCUCAGCAGUGGGCAACUCCAAACUCCUAGUUCCACAUCGCAGGCCAACACUACUACACUGAACCAGCAGAACAAGAGACCAAGACCCGCAGCUCAGGCUCCUCCCCAGGCCUCGAUAGUAAGAUGCAGUAAGGUUUGUCAGCAUUAUGACAAGGAUCA